This 96-nucleotide microRNA precursor is filed under the name Marmota monax (woodchuck). The record is from RNAcentral. Lineage: Eukaryota; Metazoa; Chordata; Mammalia; Rodentia; Sciuridae.
UAUAUGUAUAUAUAUGUGUGUGUGUGUGUGUGUGUGUGUAUAUAUAUAUAUAUAUAUAUAUAUACACACACACACACACACACAUACAUACAUACA